RNAcentral lists this ribosomal RNA (310 nucleotides) under uncultured bacterium. RNAcentral's name for it is "bacterial SSU rRNA". It matches the Rfam family "Bacterial small subunit ribosomal RNA", at positions 28 to 334 of the family's 1533-position model. The record is from RNAcentral.
GAUGAACGCUAGCGAUAGGCUUAACACAUGCAAGUCGAGGGGCAGCAUGGUCUUAGCUUGCUAGAUCGAUGGCGAGUGGCGAACGGGUGAGUAAUACAUCGGAACGUGCCCUGUAGUGGGGGAUAACUAGUCGAAAGAUUAGCUAAUACCGCAUACGACCUGAGGGUGAAAGUGGGGACCGCAAGGCCUCAUGCUAUAGGAGCGGCCGAUGUCUGAUUAGCUAGUUGGUGAGGUAAAGGCUCACCAAGGCGACGAUCAGUAGCUGGUCUGAGAGGACGAUCAGCCACACUGGGACUGAGACACGGCCCAG